This 1526-nucleotide ribosomal RNA is filed under the name uncultured bacterium. Its description in RNAcentral is "16S ribosomal RNA". It matches the Rfam family "Bacterial small subunit ribosomal RNA". The record is from RNAcentral.
UUAGAGUUUGAUCCUGGCUCAGAUUGAACGCUGGCGGAAUGCUUUACACAUGCAAGUCGAGCGGCAGCGCGGGGCAACCUGGCGGCGAGCGGCGAACGGGUGAGUAAUGCAUCGGAACAUGUCCAUGUCGUGGGGGAUAGCCCGGCGAAAGCCGGAUUAAUACCGCAUACGCCCGAGAGGGGAAAGUGGGGGACCGCAAGGCCUCACGCGAUUGGGUUGGCCGAUGUCCGAUUAGCUAGUUGGUGGGGUAAAGGCCUACCAAGGCGAUGAUCGGUAGCUGGUCUGAGAGGAUGAUCAGCCACACUGGGACUGAGACACGGCCCAGACUCCUACGGGAGGCAGCAGUGGGGAAUUUUGGACAAUGGGGGCAACCCUGAUCCAGCCAUUCCGCGUGAGUGAAGAAGGCCUUCGGGUUGUAAAGCUCUUUUGUCCGGAACGAAACGGGUAGGUCUAAUAAGCCUGCCUACUGACGGUACCGGAAGAAUAAGCACCGGCUAACUACGUGCCAGCAGCCGCGGUAAUACGUAGGGUGCGAGCGUUAAUCGGAAUUACUGGGCGUAAAGCGUGCGCAGGCGGUUUUGUAAGCCAGAUGUGAAAUCCCCGGGCUUAACCUGGGAAUGGCAUUUGGGACUGCAAGGCUGGAGUGCGGCAGAGGAGACUGGAAUUCCUGGUGUAGCAGUGAAAUGCGUAGAUAUCAGGAGGAAUACCGAUGGCGAAGGCAGGUCUCUGGGCUGACACUGACGCUCAUGCACGAAAGCGUGGGGAGCAAACAGGAUUAGAUACCCUGGUAGUCCACGCCCUAAACGAUGUCGACUGGUUGUUGGGGGUUUGACACUCCCAGUAACGAAGCUAACGCGUGAAGUCGACCGCCUGGGGAGUACGGCCGCAAGGUUAAAACUCAAAGGAAUUGACGGGGACCCGCACAAGCGGUGGAUUAUGUGGAUUAAUUCGAUGCAACGCGAAAAACCUUACCUACCCUUGACAUGUCCGGAAGCCUGCUGAGAGGCGGGUGUGCCCGAAAGGGAACCGGAACACAGGUGCUGCAUGGCUGUCGUCAGCUCGUGUCGUGAGAUGUUGGGUUAAGUCCCGCAACGAGCGCAACCCUUGUCAUUAGUUGCUACAUUCAGUUGGGCACUCUAAUGAGACUGCCGGUGACAAACCGGAGGAAGGUGGGGAUGACGUCAAGUCCUCAUGGCCCUUAUGGGUAGGGCUUCACACGUAAUACAAUGGCGCGUACAGAGGGUUGCGAAGGGGUGACCUGGAGCCAAUCCCUUAAAGCGCGUCGUAGUCCGGAUUGGAGUCUGCAACUCGACUCCAUGAAGUCGGAACCGCUAGUAAUCGCGGAUCAGCAUGUCGCGGUGAAUACGUUCCCGGGUCUUGUACACACCGCCCGUCACACCAUGGGAGUGGGUUUCACCAGAAGCCGGUCGCCUAACCGCAAGGAGGGCGCCGACCACGGUGAGAUUCAUGACUGGGGUUAGUCGUAACAAGGUAGCCGUAUCGGAAGGUGCGGCUGGAUCACCUCC